GCCUGCGCGCAGCAAUGAAGCCCCAACGCAGCCAAAAAUAAAUAAAUAAAUUUAUUUUUUUAAAAAAGAAAUGGCAGCCGGACCAGGACUCCAGGGAAGCUCUGGACAGAGGCCGGGCCUGGGUGGCCCAGAGGGAGGAGUGGCCCACAGGGCUUGGCCGGGGCGCGGGCAGGGCCAGAGCCAUCUCCUGGGGCAGCGCUGGGCCAGCUCUGUCUCGGGCCCGCCUGCAGAUCCAAGUUUGCAUUUUGACGGAACACAGGCCAUCUCCUCCACCACGCAGUCUUCAAGGUCCCGUCCUCUUCACGGGUGUCCUUUCCACGCGCUCUGUCCCUGUGUCUGGCUUGUAUUUACUCCUUGGACCCAUCCUGGUGAUGAGUGAGCUCAGCGAGGUGGUGGAGCUUCCAUCCUCUUUCUUUGCUUUUCCUGCGUGAGGCGGAGUUGGCGUUCAGCUUGGACCCGCGCGGCUCUGCGUGACUUUCUCCAGGUGAUCGUAGCUAGGCUUGUGGGAUAUCGGAGAAGGUUGGAGAAAGACAGAAAAUCCGUGUGGAGUCCCGAGGUGCGUUCUGGGCUGCGAUGCUGGCGGCGGUGCCACUUCUGUCCCUGAAGCCGCGGAAGGUGUUACAGAGCCUCUUCCUUCCCCCUUGUUCCUGCCUGCUCACGGCCGCGUCAGUAGUUUCUGAAGCAUCUUUCCACUUAUGACCCCUCGUCCCGAAGCCUGUGGAAGGGGUUUGACGGAAUUAAUCUUCCUUUGUGUUUUGAAGGUUUCCGCCCUUUCCUGUCUUGUUUCCUGUUCUGGGUCCACGUCUCUCUCCCCCCUUCUUGCCUUCGGCGUCUUCUAGGCGGUUUUCGGCAAUUCGUCUUUGCUUCCCAGUCUUAGCGAGCGUGACAGCGCACGGGGGGAUGUUCAGGGAGACUUCGGGGUGGAGGGGAAGAGGCUGGAGGAAGGAGGGAUGAGGCGUGGCCACCGCGGGUGGCAGAGGAGGGACGGCCUUCCGGGUUUGCCACGUCUGGUCGCAGAGUCACGUCGGGGUCCUGUGGGCCGUGGGCUCAGCCCCGGGUGAGGUGGGGGACUGGCACCUGCCAACGUUCCCUUUGUUCCUGCUGCCGACUCCAUCUCCAACCGUAAGAAACACAAAUUUUUAAUUAGAAAGAACUGCAUUAAGUAAUGAUCCUUGUGGGGGAAAAUAUCCGACUUUUGAUUUUCAUACAUUUUCCAGAAGCUUAAUUAUAAGGAGUGUUAGCUCUUCGGGAAAAAACUUAGUAAAAAUUUGAAAAUAUACCGAGUUUGCUCCCAAAGGCCCGGAUGGAAGGGGCACGGACCUCAGCUCACCCUGACGGCCCCUCCCGCCCCCGGGGGCCUGUCCGAGAUUUCCGCCUUCUCGGUGCUCCGGGGGCAACCCGGAGAGAGGAGCCUUCUAGACCAGCUUAUAAAAUGUGGAUCCGCGUUACUGAUCGAUGAGUUUAAGGAUUUUCUGACCGCCCGCGUCGAGCGUUGAGACCGCGUUUUCACGCCGGUGGUGGGUGGUGACUCACGCAGGCACAGGGGGGCGGCUCCAGGACGACAGCUGGCUGAGCUGUAUUCCGCAGGGACACCGCGCGGGUCCAUCUGGAGCGCGGCUCAAGCCGAAGUGGAGGGAGCCAGGUGUGGCUGUGCCUGGGAGCCAAGCCCCACGUUCACACGUGUCCGUGAGCUCCGGACUGGAGCGGGCAAGCUUCCUUCCCACCACACCUGGCUGCGGGGCACAGGAAAAGCUACACCUUGUCGCACAGCUGGGAGGUGGCGGCCCGUGCAGUUGCAGGACGUGGACCCGGCAGCGGGCACCUGGUCAUCCCUGACCGCAGGGGGUCUCUGUUAGACUCUCGGCAAUUAUGACACAGUGACUUCCCAGGCCAAACUUGAUGCCAGAAAUGUUCAAAAUAAAGGGUCUGGAAGAGCCAGAAUUUGAUUUAAAAAGACCCGUGAGAUCCGGUGGAGAGCACUGAGCAGGGACCUAAAUGCCCCUAGACUUCUCCUCCGGCUGCCCACGGGAUGCACAUGAAAGACACCUUGACAGAGGAAGGUGACCUAGUGGAGGAUCCAUGAGGAAAGGAGGGGAGACGCUGUGCAGACGUGUCAUCUCGCGCGGGCGUGUGUACCUGCAGGACUACUGGGCUUCUGUCGCCUGAGAUGGGGGAACCGACAGGCUGUGUCCUGUCACCCCUCCCCUCGUGGCACCGGAUGCACGUGACUGUCCCCGCAGGACAGAGAAAAGCCCCCCGACCCAGGGCACCUGCCUGCAGAGUGACAAGGCCACGCUGAAGGGCCCCCGGCAGGAUAAUCCCCCGCAGGGCGACAUCCCCUCUUCCUCCCCUGAGCCCGCUGCUGCCGGAGGAGAUACUGGGUUACGCAGGGGCUCGGUACGAUGUCCUGACACCUUGCUCUGAAGGCUUACUGGCCCCUGGCCGCUCCAGGUGGCUGGGAGGACGUGGGUCAGGCAGGGACAGGCAUUUACCGCAAGACAGCGAGGGUGAUGUGGACGGAAACAUGGGCGGAAAGGGGCUGCGCGACAGGGAGGACAUUGAUUUUGCCUGCUCCAGAGGCUGCAGCGUGGCCCCGGUGGGCGGGGACAGUGGCCCCAGCAAAGCCCAUUCUGGGAAAAUGUCCCGUCCUCUCCAGAGUCACCGGCGUGCCGGCGGGUCUCAGAGCAGUGCCCCGGCCAGCGCCCAGCCUUGCGGCUAGACCAGCAACGUGGCUGCGACCUCCUGUGCGUUUGUACUGGGUCCCACUGACUUGCCAUCCAAAAUCGGGUUUGAAAAUGUAUUUUUACAUAAUAUCAUCCAAUCACGGUCUUCUUAAAGGUAUGCGGCAUCAAAGAAUGCCAUUGACUGCGAUUUAUAGCAUGACAUUGAAAAAUGCAAAUGUAUUUGUACCUCUA
This is a long non-coding RNA of Aethalodelphis obliquidens (Pacific white-sided dolphin), 2915 nucleotides long. RefSeq lists it as uncharacterized. The record is from RefSeq and is a predicted model, not a curated record. NCBI's taxonomy places the organism in Eukaryota, Metazoa, Chordata, Mammalia, Artiodactyla, Delphinidae. The transcript is spliced from 2 exons.